RNAcentral lists this ribosomal RNA (466 nucleotides) under uncultured bacterium. Its description in RNAcentral is "partial 16S ribosomal RNA". It matches the Rfam family "Bacterial small subunit ribosomal RNA", at positions 28 to 507 of the family's 1533-position model. The record is from RNAcentral.
GAUGAACGCUGGCGGCGUGCUUAACACAUGCAAGUCGAACGGAAAGGCUCCUGCCUGCCGGGGUACUCGAGUGGCGAACGGGUGAGUAACACGUGGGUGAUCUGCCCUGUACUUCGGGAUAAGCUUGGGAAACUGGGUCUAAUACCGGAUAUGACAAUCUCUUGGAUGGGGUUGUGGAAAGCUUUUGCGGUAUGGGAUGAGCUCGCGGCCUAUCAGCUUGUUGGUGGGGUAAUGGCCUACCAAGGCGUCGACGGGUAGCCGGCCUGAGAGGGUGUACGGCCACAUUGGGACUGAGAUACGGCCCAGACUCCUACGGGAGGCAGCAGUGGGGAAUAUUGCACAAUGGGCGCAGGCCUGAUGCAGCGACGCCGCGUGGGGGAUGACGGCCUUCGGGUUGUAAACUCCUUUCGCAACCGACGAAGCUUUUGUGACGGUAGGUUGAGAAGAAGCACCGGCUAACUACGUG